Molecule: long non-coding RNA, 504 nt
Organism: Passer domesticus (house sparrow)
Lineage: Eukaryota; Metazoa; Chordata; Aves; Passeriformes; Passeridae
Exons: 2
Source: RefSeq, a predicted model, not a curated record
CUCAAAACACGGGGAGUAAUUGCCACCACCACUUCCAUCUACACCUUGGCCAUGGCCACAUCAGAGGGUUAAACAGGUAUUCGGGGUGCACUGUUACAACCCUGCUAUCAAGACCUGUUCUUCUCAGAUCAGCUGGGCAUAAAGAGCAAAGGAGCCAGGAAAUCCUUUCAGAGGCGGUGGUGUGCUGCACUUGCAACCCUCAGCAUCCUUCCAGACAGCCCAGAAAAGCUGAGAGGAUUCGACCCUCCGUGAAAAAAUGAGAGUCUAAAUGAGAGAGGCUCAUAAGCACAGCUGGAAGGUACAAUAAUGGUGGUUUGGCCCUUGGAAACCAAACUCUGAGGUUCACACUGAUAAUGUGUGCACACAGACAAGCAGAGAAACCCAGGUGCUGCAAGGACUGAAGAUUGAAUACUUUAUAACCCAGCCCACUGGUGAAUUCCCUAUGAAUGAUGAGCUGGAGUCACACAGACACCAAGUACCCCGAAUAAAAGCUGGAAGCUCUUU